This is a long non-coding RNA of Cuculus canorus (common cuckoo), 6044 nucleotides long. RefSeq lists it as uncharacterized. The transcript has 3 exons. The record is from RefSeq and is a predicted model, not a curated record. NCBI's taxonomy places the organism in Eukaryota, Metazoa, Chordata, Aves, Cuculiformes, Cuculidae.
UUCGGCUGAGGUCUGAGGACCUUGCAGCUUUUGUCCAUUCAGCAUCUCCUUUUCCAGUUCCUCAAUGGACUAGAAGAGAGGAGACUGAUUACUUGGAGCAGAGGGAAUACCGCUGCGAUACCAGCAGUUCUCAAGAAGGUUGGAAAACCGGCACACGAACUACAUAUCUUGUCUGCGCUCGCUCAGUCACAGGGUGACAGGACUCAUAUUAGACCCUACAGCUUACAGAAGACUCAGCCAGAGGAGCUCCAGUUGCAACACUCUUGUCCUCUGACCUGCUUGUAGCACGCCUGCAGUGAGGAUCGUGAACAGGAUUUAGCUGUGGUAUGUUUUCUGGAACUGAUAAAGGUCUUGAGUACAUUCAAGACGAAGUCCAGGUAGGUCGAUGGUUCAAAGGGAAACAAUGUUGUAACUGGUUCUCAUUGGCUCAACUGUAUUUUUGAUGUACCAGAUUUGCACACGGCUGAAUUGCUCAAUAAGUAAUAAAAGAAUAAGGGCUUCAUUUUAAUCUUUAACGAUAAAUCCUACUGAGAUUAAGUUUCACUUUGGUUAGUGCUGACUCUAUACUGUAUCCUGAGCUGCUGAAAUGCUUUCUUUCUAAAAAGAUAGGGAAAUGUUUUAGGGGUGUACCUUUACUGUAGAGAAGUAUUAUCUUUAAAAUUACUUUUAUUCUGGUUUUCCUGCCCUGUUGCCAGCAGGGAGCACAAUCAGAGCUUAAGCUGAGGAAGAAUUGUGGCUCAGCACAAGAAAUGCAUAUUAAGAAGCAAAGUUAUUUUUAUUAAUAAAGUUGAGAUCUAAAUUAAUUGUCCAGGUUGUGCUGGAGACUCUGGCGGAGCUUCUAGCACAAUCUGGAUGAUGAACUUCAAGCCUAUCCAUAAAAAUAACUUUUCUAUCUAUGUACCAAGUUAAUAUGAUUUUCUCUUAAAAAAUGCAGACUACAGCUCUAACCUCCAGAAUACUGAGUGGGAUUCUCAUCUCUCAGUAAAUAAAUCUGAUCUUGCCACAGAGCCGUCUUUGCCACCGCACUUGGAUGUUUCCACCCAAGUAUUUUCCUGUUGACAAGAUAUCAGUGAAGGUAUCUCAGGCAUAAAGGUAGUUCCAUAAAUUAUGGUAUUUUUGCUUGGUUUCUCUUUAGAUGAAUGAGGAGUUGGGGGAGAAAAGGUUUAACAUUUAAAAGGCAUUGAGUAGUCAUCAGGGAAAAUACCACUGCAUGAAACCACCAAACAGUUCAAAAAACCUGAUGCUCUGUUUUACUUAGUCCAUUUAAAAUUCACUCAUCACCGAUCAACCUUGGGAAGAAGAACUGCUUUGUCUGUGAAGGUGGUGUUUGUUAGACUACGUAGGCUUGGCAGAAGAGGGCUGCAUAUGCAAAGAAACUCAAGGACGCUCACAUAUAAAGACUUUGCCAUGGUUUUAUUUUCUCCAAAAUUCACUUUUGUGAAGAUUAAUAGAAGGCAGAGAAGGCCACUUAACAGUAAGCAAAAACUGCCAAUCAGGAUUUUUUUCCCCAAUUAGGUUAAUUCACGUUGGAAGUGAUUUACUUACUGCGAAGAAAAAGAAAGCUUUUAUCUGGAGAUAGGCUUCUAUCAGUGUAAUGAGAAAGCUUUGAUGUAGAAUAACUCAAAUAAAACCAAUUAUUUACAGAAGUGAAUAUGGAAGUGUUUGUGGCAUACGUCAGAUCUGGUGAAAAACAGAGCUUAACAGACCCCAUGAAGCAGCUUGUCCCUUCCCUGUACAAAGGGUAAUCAAAUACAAUUAUGCCAUUCCUAAUAGUUUUUCCAAGGAGGUCUUAGAGACCUCAGUGGUUGCAGGCUGGAUCAAUGGGCCAAGGCCAACAGCAUGAGGUUCAACAAGGCCAAAUGCUGGGUCCUGCACUUGAGGCACAACAACCCUAUGUAGUGCUAUAGACUGGGGGAAGAGUGGCUGGAGAGCUGCACGGAGGAGAAGGACCUGAGGGUGUUGAUUGACAGCGACUGAACAUGAGCCAGCAGUGUGCCCAGGUGGCCAAGAAGGCCAACGGCAUCUUGGCUUGGAUCAGAAACAGUGUGACCAGCAGGUCCAGGGAGGUUAUUCUCCCUCUGUACUCGGCACUGGUGAGACAGCAUCUUGAGUACUGUGUUCAGUUCUGGCCCCUCACCACAAGAAGGAUGUUGAGGCUCUGGAGUGUGUCCAGAGAAGAGCAACGAAGCUGGUGAAGGGGCUGGAGAACAAGUCUUAUGAGGAGCGGCUGAGAGAGCUGGGAUUGUUUAGCCUGGAGAAAAGGAGGCUGAGGGGAGACCUUAUUAUUCUCUACAACUACCUGAAAGGAGGUUGUGGAGAGGAGGGAGCUGGGCUCUUCUCCCAAGUGACAGGGGACAGGACUAGAGGGAAUGGCCUGAAGCUCCGCCAGGGGAGGUUCAGGCUGGAUAUCAGAAAAAAAUUCUUUACAGAAAGAGUCAUUGGGCACUGGCAGAGGCUGCCCAGGGAGGGGGUCGAGUCACCUUCCCUGGAGGUGUUUAAGGAACGGGUGGAUGAAGUGCUUAGGGACAGGGUUUAGGGGAGUGUUAGGAAUGGUUGGACUCGAUGAUCCAGUGGGUCCUUUCCAACCUGGUGAUUCUAUGAUUCUAUGAUCUCUUUCCUUCCCCAAACAGCCUAUCCCAGGACUUUGCCAUAUUUAGCAUUAGAAAGAUCCUACUCACUUUUUACCUAAGACUUUCUUACUGCAGUUUCAGGCCAUUUCUGUUCUAGAAGGGUGGUAUAUUGGUUUUGUCCUUUAGAUGCUUUAAGACGACCAUGUCUUCCGCCAGUCUCUUUCUUAGGUAGCCACCCCACAUUUCUUAAAUUGCAGUUUCACUCAGGUUGGAAGGGACGAUAAGAUGUCUCCAAAGUGAGAACAAAACUGACUUCAGACGGAUUGCUGAGGGCUUUGUUCAAUUGAGUCCUGAAAACUCUCCAAGGACCACCUCCUCUCUGGACAACCUGCCCCAGUGUCUUAUUAUUCUCUCUAUACUGAGUCAGAACCUACUCUGGUUCAAUUUACAGACACUCGUUUUUGUUUUCCUUCUGUGCCCCUCGGUACAAAGCCUGGCCAUCUGUCCAUGUUGAAGACAAAUACCUAGUUCAAACUGGAUCUUCACAGAGGUCUCUGCAAUCCAAGUGAAUCUAAAAAGCCCAGGAGAGCUUUUAGAUUCUGGAGGACCAGGCAGUGAAUUAAGCCUCUGUUUUUAAAAACAGAUAACUGAACUCUGAUCAAUGUAAACACAGCUCCUCCUGCACCUGGCUGGCAACCGCAAAAGGCACUGCAGCACUUACUUCACUUAACCGCAUCCCUCAUGAGUUUCCUAGCAGUGUUGACUUGGUAAGUCCUUGUGACCUGCUGAAGUUCUGCAGCUGACACCAGCUAUUACAACACACCGUGUCAUGUGUCAACCACGUUUCUGAACUGCAGGAAAGACUCCAGAGCAGUUACCUGAACUGUCACCCAGUACUCAGGAGGACCAUAAAAUAAUGUUUGCCAAAGAUAAACAUCAUAUUCCUAUGUUGUGCUAAGACAACCUGUUCUGCCACAGAGGCUAUGAAUAGAUGUGAUUUAAACAUCAGAGCACAAUGUUUACCUCGUCUCCAAAGAUUUUACAUUCUAUGUAUAUAGUAGAAAGCAAGAGAUGAGCCCAGGUAGGCCGGCAACUAUGAGUAAGUAGAUAGUAUUGAACGAGCUGAGGUCUCUGUGUCUCUGUGACACAACUCUUCCCAAGUUUGUAGGCAUAUCUGAAAAAAAAAGAGAACUUUCUCGGGUACAGAUCUGAAGGAAGACAACUGAGUGGCUGUGAAGAAUGUCUUAUGGCAAGGAGGCAACUUGGGAAAGGCAGGAGGUGCUUGCUUGAGGAUGCAGCAAGAGUAUGAUGAAGGCUGUCAUCGUGGCCUGACCAAAGGUAAAAGCUGACUCCCACAUGUGCAGCCAGGCUGUUGAGGGGCUUGAGGUGAGGAGUUGCCUGCACGAGCUUGGAUGCCUGUGGUUAAGGUGACAGAGAAGAGGGCGACAGGGGGGGAAUGCAAACACUAGAAUGACACAGUGAAAGUGGCAGUCAGGGAAAUGUUGGUGCGGAAAUGACAGGGCAGGACUGUGUCCAUCGGGGCCAGAGAAAGCCAGAUAGAGUUCCCAAAGAUGACUUAGCCGUGCAGUUACUUGUGAAUGGCUGUAUCUAAGAGAUGUCACGCACAAAAAGCCUGUGAUCCGGAAAGAACAUGCACGUGGGGGCUCAGAAAGCAGUGCAGGGGGACUGGUUUUACAAGGCAGAAAGGCAAAGAGACGUGCUUAAACUAUGCUUUGUUCUCAGCAGCUCACAAGCAACCACUCCCUCACCUAUUGAUUUUUUUGGCAUUUGCUUCUGCUUCGCUGUCAGAUAUUUUAAAAAUCUUAAGGACCUUGCCCUCCUUGCACAAAAACAAUCCACAGAACUACCUGGAGGCUGGGUUUGCUAAUCACAAGCCCAUGCACAUACAUGUUGGUCUGUUUGUUUGUGCUCAGCUUACAUAAACCAUAAGAAAAGUAAGAUGUGAAGUCCAGUGAGACAGGGUUUACUGAGUUUGAGGGGUCUGCCAGACCCAAUGAGCUCUGGAGAGCCGUGCUUUUGUCCAGGCUAGAAAGGGUUGAGCAGCAGCAAACUUAUAAAGGGGGAUAAGGAUAAAUGGAGAGAGGGUGAACACAGUGCUUGUACAAGGUUGCACUUGCACCAAGAUGCAAAACGACGUGCUGAGGAGGAUGGAAGUGAAAACUGUCAAUAAGUUGUGGCUUUAAAUGAAGUCUGUGCCUUGAUGCCUUGAAAGAAAUACAAAUGGCAUCAGACUUGCACAAAUUGGUUGGGCUUGAGAGGGAGCUCUGGAGAUCAUGCAGUCCAACCUCUCUGCUAAAGCAGGUUCACCCAAAGACACAAAGCAGGUUGUGUGGGACCAUGUCUAAGUGGGUUUUGAAUAUGUCCAGAGAAGGAGACUCCCUUGGCAGCCUGUUCCUAUCGCCCUCGCAGGAAAGAAGCGUUUCCUCUUAGAAUCAUAGAAGAGAAUCAUGGAAUAGUUUGAGUUGGAAGGGACCUUAAAGAUCAUCUAGUUCCAGACCGCCUACCAUGGGCAGGCAUGUUCCACUGGAUCAGGCUGCCCAAGGCCCAUCCAACCUGGCCUUGAACACCUCCAGGGAUGGGGCAGCCACAGCUUCCCUGGGCAACCUGUGCCAGUGCCUCACCACUCUCAUGGUGAAGAAAUUCUUCCUAAUGUCCAGCCUAAAUCUGCCCCUCUCCAGUUUAUACCCAUUCCCCCUGGUCCUGUCCCCACAAGCCUUUAUGAAUAGUGCCUCCCCAGAUAUCCUGUAGCCCCUUCAGGUACUGGAAAGUCGCUGUAAGAUCUCCUCGGAGUCUUCUCCAGGCUGAACAACUCCCACUCUCUCAGCCUGUCCUUGUAUGGGAGGUGCUCCAGCCCUCCGAUCAUUCUUGUAGCCCUACUGUAGACCCGUUCCAACAGCUCCACAUCCUUCUUAUGUUGAGGAUUCCAGAACUGGACACGAUACUCCAGAUGAGGUCUCACAAGAGAGGAACAGAGGGGCAGAAUCCCCUCCCUCGCCCUGCUGGCCACGCUGCUUUGGAUGCAGACCAGGACACGGUUGCCCUUCUGGGCUAUGAGCGCACCCUUGUUCAGGUGGAAGGUUCUGUGCUGCAGUUUGUGCCCGUUGCCCCCCGUCCCGUCGCUGGGCACCACCGAGCAGCCUGGCCGCACCGCACCCUUCAGAUAUUGCUCAGCACCGAUCAGAUCCCCUCUCAGCCUUCUCCAGGCUGAAGCCACCCGGCUCUCCCAGCCUUUCCUCGAACGCAGGUGCUCUCUGAAGGCUUCACUCGGAGCUGCCCGGGCUCUCCCAGCGUCCCUCCCACCCCUCGGUGCCGCAGGAGCCUCCCGGCAUUCCCGUUCCCGCUGGCGCAUCCCUCGGGAAGGGACCCGGCCAGGCGGUGGAUGCAGGACCGCGGAGCCGCUCCCGGACCUGUUGCGGAGGGAGGGAGGAAAGGGGAGACGGCGAGGAAAGGAGG